Molecule: long non-coding RNA, 1138 nt
Organism: Nerophis lumbriciformis (worm pipefish)
Lineage: Eukaryota; Metazoa; Chordata; Actinopteri; Syngnathiformes; Syngnathidae
Source: RefSeq, a predicted model, not a curated record
GGAAUAGACAAAAUGGCUGACGGCGGUUUGGACUGUGAGCGAUGGUUCCCCUCAGCAACACUUUUGGCCCAACUAGGAUGGGAGCGUUUGACACAUUUGGUGCAAGAGGGAGUUUCCACACUUGGUCUGCUUUGGUACCUGUGCACUCAAAAUAGACAAAAAAAUACAUCACCUGGCUGGGUUGCCCUUGGUGUUACCAUGGCAACGUGAUAAAUAACCCGACACAAGAUGGGAUACUGCAAAGUGAAACAGGGAAAUAUCAUUUUUCACUCCUCUAAACAUCCUAUAUGAACGCUAAUUUCUAAAAAUAAUUAUUGUUGUGUUUUUGUUUUUUUGACCCAGCUCAGAAGGGAAAAUGUGAUUUGAGGACAUUCGCGCCGAGUCAGCAUCAGUGUAACAAGAAGUUAACAAUGGAAAAUGUAAAGAACAACCAAACACUCCGUCUUGGAUAGCAGGAAAGUGUCCGUACUGAUGCUGGAGUCAUACUGCUUUGGGUCCUCUUAAUUCAGCUGUUUGCCACACUGAGGAGGCACAUGUUAUCCAGAAGGAGACCGAGGGCAAAGUGCAACCAUUUGGAGACUGUGGAGUAUACAUGCUGUAGCAACAAGGUCGGGUUGCGGGGGCAGCAGCCUAAGCAGAGAAGCCCAGACUUCCCUCUCCACAGCCACUUCGUCCAGCUCUUCCCAGGGGAUCCUGAGGUGUUACCAGGCCAGCCAGGAGACAUAGUCUCCCCAUUGUGUCCUGGGUCUUCCCCGUGAACUCCUACCAGUCGGACGUGCCCAAAACACCUUCCCAGGGAGCCAGGGACAUUCGGAUCAGAUGCCUGAACCACCUCACAUGGCUACUCUCGAUGUGGAGGAGCAGCGGCUUUACUCUGAGCUCCCCCCGAAUGACAGAGCUUCUCACCGUUUCUCAAGGGAGAGGCCCGCCACCCGACGGAGAAAAUUCAUUUUGUCCGCUUGUACCCGUGAGUCUCAGCUGAAGAGGUAGGAACACAAUAGAAGCUCUAGUUCCUGGAACUAUAGGUUCAGGUAGUUUAUUCAAAUCAUGCUGAUGACGUAUGGAAGAGUGGCUUGGUAUAUUUCUACACUGAUAGCACGUAAAUAAACAGACAACAUUAGGUCAGAGUUAUUUUACU